This 756-nucleotide long non-coding RNA is filed under the name Anser brachyrhynchus (Pink-footed goose). RNAcentral's name for it is "lncRNA (ENSABRG00000002300.1)". Lineage: Eukaryota; Metazoa; Chordata; Aves; Anseriformes; Anatidae. The record is from RNAcentral.
CCUACUUGUCUUCCAAAGAUACAUUUCUGCAGCAGUUCCUCAACACAAACCAUUUGUCUCUGGGCAGGAAUUCAAGAAUGUUAACCCUGUGUGUGCUCCUGUGGGGUACACAGCACCUCUGUGGGAACAAUGCUUACUGGAGACCUGUGCAGUGAAGGAGGCUGCCUUGCGGUGUGGACCUUGCAGACAGCUGGAACUAUAACCCAGUCCUUUGCUCCUGAACACAUUGCUGGACUCUCAGGUGGGAUGAAGAGAAGGUCGCUGACUCCACCUUAUGCUUAGACGGGAGGAAAGAAAAGCCUGCUGUUUGUCCUGGCUUGCGAAGUUGCUUGUCGACAGCUCUGUGCUGAGUGGGCAGUGUCACACAGUCAAUGGGCUUUCCACCAAGAAGGUCAAGUUUGAAUGGGGCAGGUAAUCUGAAGACCUCCCAUGUUUACUUCAAAAACUCUUUCCUGGUCAGAUUUUAGGCUCAAGAUGGACUCUCCCAAUACUGACCGUCCCCUUUCUGUCCUGGGAAUACAUGAGCUGGCUGGCACCCAUGCAGUACUGCACAGAUGUAUAUGUAUGUAUGCAUAAAUGCACCUUCCUUGAACAAUUGUCAAAAGAAGCAGAUGUCAUGCUUUCUUCCAAUUUCUGCUGGGGAUUUUAUCGGUAGGGCCUAUUCAAAUGAAGUUCUGAUCUGUCUCAUGUCCUGAGCCAUGUCUUCUGUAGAGGAGAAUGUGCAGGGAGAAAUUGGGUAAGUGUAACUUCUGUUGA